Molecule: ribosomal RNA, 253 nt
Filed under: uncultured bacterium
Lineage: Bacteria
Description: partial 16S ribosomal RNA
Rfam family: Bacterial small subunit ribosomal RNA
Source: RNAcentral
UACGAAGGGGGCUAGCGUUGCUCGGAAUCACUGGGCGUAAAGCGCACGUAGGCGGCUUCUUAAGUCAGGGGUGAAAUCCUGGAGCUCAACUCCAGAACUGCCUUUGAUACUGAGGAGCUUGAGUCCGGGAGAGGUGAGUGGAACUGCGAGUGUAGAGGUGAAAUUCGUAGAUAUUAGGAAGAACACCGGUGGCGAAGGCGGCCCACUGGUCCGGUACUGACGCUGAGGUGCGAAAGCGUGGGGAGCAAACAGG